This 334-nucleotide ribosomal RNA is filed under the name uncultured eukaryote. RNAcentral's name for it is "bacterial SSU rRNA". It matches the Rfam family "Eukaryotic small subunit ribosomal RNA", at positions 1344 to 1680 of the family's 1831-position model. The record is from RNAcentral.
CUGCUAAAAAAUAGAGGAUAAAAUACUAUUGUAUUUUAUUAUAAUAACUCUUCUUUUUGGGACUUUUGGUUUUUAAUCCAAAGGAAGUUAGAGGCAAUAACAGGUCUGUGAUGCCCUUAGAUGUUCUGGGCCGCACGCGCGCUACACUGAUAAGUUCAAAAAGUAUCCUUUAAUUUGGAAUCCUUUUCCGAAAAGAAUGGGUAAUCUUUGAAAGCUUAUCGUGAUGGGGAUAGAUGAUUGCAAUUAUUCAUCUUGAACGAGGAAUUCCUAGUAAGCGUAAGUCAUCAGCUUACGUUGAUUACGUCCCUGCCCCUUGUACACACCGCCCGUCGCU